Molecule: ribosomal RNA, 154 nt
Filed under: uncultured fungus
Lineage: Eukaryota; Fungi
Description: partial 5.8S ribosomal RNA
Rfam family: 5.8S ribosomal RNA
About the family: 5.8S ribosomal RNA (5.8S rRNA) is a component of the large subunit of the eukaryotic ribosome. It is transcribed by RNA polymerase I as part of the 45S precursor that also contains 18S and 28S rRNA.
Source: RNAcentral
AACUUUUAACAACGGAUCUCUUGGCUCUCGCAUCGAUGAAGAACGCAGCGAAAUGCGAUACGUAAUGUGAAUUGCAGAAUUCAGUGAAUCAUCGAAUCUUUGAACGCACCUUGCACUCCCUGGUAUUCCGGGGAGCACGCCUGUUCGAGUGUCA